GAAUUCGCCCUUAGAGUUUGAUUCUGGCUCAGGACGAACGCUGGCGGCGUGCUUAACACAUGCAAGUCGAACGAGGAUGUUGGCUUCGGCUGACAUUCGAGUGGCGGACGGGUGAGUAACGCGUGAGCAAUCUGUCCCACAGAGGGGGAUAACAACUGGAAACAGUUGCUAAUACCGCAUAAGACCACACUGUCGCAUGACAGAGAGGUCAAAGGAGCAAUCCGCUGUGGGGUGAGCUCGCGUCCGAUUAGUUAGUUGGUGAGGUAACGGCCCACCAAGACAGCGAUCGGUAGCCGACCUGAGAGGGUGAUCGGCCACAUUGGGACUGAGACACGGCCCAGACUCCUACGGGAGGCAGCAGUGGGGAAUAUUGGGCAAUGGGCGAAAGCCUGACCCAGCAACGCCGCGUGAGGGAAGAAGGUUUUCGGAUUGUAAACCUCUGUCCUAAGGGACGAAGGAAGUGACGGUACCUUAGGAGGAAGCCCCGGCUAACUACGUGCCAGCAGCCGCGGUAAUACGUAGGGGGCGAGCGUUGUCCGGAAUGACUGGGCGUAAAGGGCGUGUAGGCGGCAGUAUAAGUCCGGAGUGAAAGUCCUGCUUUCAAGGUGGGAAUUGCUUUGGAGACUGUACAGCUUGAGUGCGGAAGAGGUAAGUGGAAUUCCCAGUGUAGCGGUGAAAUGCGUAGAGAUUGGGAGGAACACCAGUGGCGAAGGCGACUUACUGGGCCGUAACUGACGCUGAGGCGCGAAAGCGUGGGGAGCGAACAGGAUUAGAUACCCUGGUAGUCCACGCGGUAAACGAUGAAUGCUAGGUGUAGGGGGUAUUCGACCCCUUCUGUGCCGGAGUAAACACAAUAAGCAUUCCGCCUGGGGAGUACGGCCGCAAGGUUGAAACUCAAAGGAAUUGACGGGGGCCCGCACAAGCAGCGGAGCAUGUGGUUUAAUUCGACGCAACGCGAAGAACCUUACCAGGUCUUGACAUCGAUCCAAAGCUGUAGAGAUACAGUGUGACUUCGGUCAGGAGAAGACAGGUGGUGCAUGGUUGUCGUCAGCUCGUGUCGUGAGAUGUUGGGUUAAGUCCCGCAACGAGCGCAACCCUUAUUGUCAGUUACUAACGGGUAAGGCCGAGGACUCUGACGAGACUGCCGGGGACAACUCGGAGGAAGGUGGGGACGACGUCAAAUCAUCAUGCCCCUUAUGACCUGGGCUACACACGUGCUACAAUGGUGGUAACAAAGAGGAGCGAGCCCGUAAGGGUAAGCGGAUCUCAAAAAAGCCAUCUCAGUUCGGAUUGUGGGCUGCAACCCGCCCACAUGAAGUUGGAGUUGCUAGUAAUCGCGAAUCAGCAUGUCGCGGUGAAUACGUUCCCGGGCCUUGCACUCACCGCCCGUCA
This 1392-nucleotide ribosomal RNA is filed under the name uncultured bacterium. Its description in RNAcentral is "bacterial SSU rRNA". It matches the Rfam family "Bacterial small subunit ribosomal RNA". The record is from RNAcentral.